UAUGCUCCAGAGUGGAUGCUGCAAUAGCAAUACAAAUCUCUCUGGAUUACAUUGAAUUUCCAAAGAUGAGAGAUACCGGUGGCACAUAGUGCCAAAGCUAGUUUAAUUGGUGGAGUGGAUUUGUGAUGUCCACGUAGUGUUCUUGGGGGCACGAGAAAAGAUACAAAAGAGGAACUAAACAAAAGUGCGAUGAAGGCAAAGUGGUCCUCUCUUUUU
This 216-nucleotide long non-coding RNA is filed under the name Setaria italica (foxtail millet). Its description in RNAcentral is "long non-coding RNA (SITA_LNC006580)". The record is from RNAcentral. Lineage: Eukaryota; Viridiplantae; Streptophyta; Magnoliopsida; Poales; Poaceae.